GAUGAACGCUGGCGGCGUGCUUAACACAUGCAAGUCGAACGAUGAAGCCCAGCUUGCUGGGUGGAUUAGUGGCGAACGGGUGAGUAACACGUGAGUAACCUGCCCUUAACUCUGGGAUAAGCCUGGGAAACUGGGUCUAAUACCGGAUAGGAGCGCCUACCGCAUGGUGGGUGUUGGAAAGAUUUAUCGGUUUUGGAUGGACUCGCGGCCUAUCAGCUUUUUGGUGAGGUAAUGGCUCACCAAGGCGACGACGGGGAGCCGGCCUGAGAGGGUGACCGGCCACACUGGGACUGAGAGACGGCCCAGACUCCUACGGGAGGCAGCAGUGGGGAAUAUUACACAAUGGGCGAAAGCCUGAUGCAGCGACGCCGCGUGAGGGAUGACGGCCUUCGGGUUGUAAACCUCUUUCAGUAGGGAAGAAGCGAAAGUGACGGUACCUGCAGAAGAAGCACCGGCUAACUACGUG
RNAcentral lists this ribosomal RNA (466 nucleotides) under uncultured bacterium. RNAcentral's name for it is "partial 16S ribosomal RNA". It matches the Rfam family "Bacterial small subunit ribosomal RNA", at positions 28 to 507 of the family's 1533-position model. The record is from RNAcentral.